GGUUGCGAUCAUACCAGCACUAAUGCACCGGAUCCCAUCAGAACUCCCCAGUUAAGCGUGCUUGGGCGAGAGUAGUACUAGGAUGGGUGACCCCCUGGGAAGUCCUCGUGUUGCAACCC
RNAcentral lists this ribosomal RNA (119 nucleotides) under Helianthus annuus (common sunflower). Lineage: Eukaryota; Viridiplantae; Streptophyta; Magnoliopsida; Asterales; Asteraceae. The record is from RNAcentral.